Long non-coding RNA from Carassius auratus (goldfish), 1064 nucleotides. RefSeq lists it as uncharacterized. The transcript is spliced from 8 exons. NCBI's taxonomy places the organism in Eukaryota, Metazoa, Chordata, Actinopteri, Cypriniformes, Cyprinidae. The record is from RefSeq and is a predicted model, not a curated record.
UGUGUUGGUUUUUGUGGUUUACAAGGACUUUUGACCUGAAUACGCACCAGCAUUACAGGGACAUUUGGGUUUAUGAGGACAGGGCCCAUGUCCUUAUAAUUCCGACAGUGUAUAUGCCUUUCUCUAUGUCCCAGAAGCUCCCUCUCAAAUUUUCGCGCCAUGUCCUAAUAUACCACAAAACCCUGAAAUUUUACUAUACACUGUGUAUCCUCCGAACUCGGGAGUGCGCCCCUGCAGCCCGGACCCGGUACUGCAUCCGCGUCAUCGAAAAUUUGCAUAUUUUACACUUGUGUAAGUUUGGAGGCCGCUGAUUGGCUAGAUCGGCACCGGAGGGCGGGAAAUCGCGAAAACAAAAUGGCGGCGGUGGGCGGGGCUACAUUCUGCCGCUAAUAGCUCCGUACAACGAGGCAAGGGUGUCGGUUUGUAACUUCCUGUUUGGACCGGACGCAAUCUGUGCACCUGAAGUGAAGACAUCUGCGGUGUGAAGCUGUUGGAGACAACUAUUAUAUGAAAGCAGACACAGAGGAUGGCUGAAGGUGCGAGGCGAAGGAGAAAGCUGAGGCCAUACAGUGUUCACUUCAACAGAAAGACCAGAAUGGGCUCAAGGGCAGGUUCAUCACUGAUCUUAAAGGUGACUCUGAAGAAGGACCGGUUACUAUUGGAUGAUCAGGACUGUGUUGAGUAGAUGUCACCUGUCAAAGAGCAUGUGUUGAAUGAGGAGCAGAGCUUUUUUGUCCCCGCUGAAGGAGUUAAGGAGAUGAGAUCAACAUGACAGAUUCUGAUGACGCUGAUCCUGAAGAAAGUGAUUCUGAUGAUGAGGCUCUUGCUGGAGCUGCGGGAGACUCCAGUAAUGCUGGUGUUCAGAAGAUGCCCAUUGAGAGCACCACUGAAGUUCCUGAAGAGAGUGAGAGUGAGGCAGACACUGAAAACACACGGAGAGGGCAGAAAGUGUCCUGGUCAAACACUGAAGUUACAGCUGUAAUCAAACAUUUUAAGGACCACAGAGCUAAAGGAAAACUGGCCACAAUGACUGAAAACCAGCAGUGUAAAACUGCUGAGGAUCC